UAGGUGUGGAGCUUCCCGACCGGCUG
This 26-nucleotide non-coding RNA is filed under the name Homo sapiens (human). Lineage: Eukaryota; Metazoa; Chordata; Mammalia; Primates; Hominidae. The record is from RNAcentral.